UCUGAUCUGUUCCAUCUUCCUGUUGUUGGAGGCAUAGGUAGUUUCUGUCCUGAUCCCACAACUCCCAUUCCACUAGCUUCACAAGCUACAAUGCUGAAAUCUUCAACUAAUUGUUCAGUUGAUUGUCCCAUUAAAGCUAUUACUCCUUCUACUGUCUCAGCUUCUUUGUCCACAACAUCUUCAACUAUCAAUCCUUCACCACAAGUACAAAACACCCUCUUUAAGCUCUCAAAAUCUUCCUCUAUUAUCUGAUGAUCGCCCCUCGAAAAGAU
This 272-nucleotide long non-coding RNA is filed under the name Nicotiana benthamiana. Its description in RNAcentral is "long non-coding RNA (NBEN_LNC001622)". Lineage: Eukaryota; Viridiplantae; Streptophyta; Magnoliopsida; Solanales; Solanaceae. The record is from RNAcentral.